GUGUCUUUGAUUAUCACUCACACCAGGUCCCACCAGGUUGUAAAAUUACAACAUCGACUGCCGCUCUGCCUGUGGCUGGUUCCUUCCUCUCCACCACUAUGCCAAUCAUGGAAAAAAAGAAAAAAUAAGACACUGGGGUUACCAGGGGAAGCCCGGAUGCGAGAGAAAAAUCCCGGCAAACCCGCUGUGUAUGAGAAGAGAAGAACGAAAACUUCGCUGAAAGAAGAGAGAGAAAGAGUCUUCCCCACCAUGAAACCAGGUUGUGUAGAGAUGGAGAAUGUAUGAUUCCAAAGCUGUCACCUGCACUUCCCAGGGGAAGCAAUUUGGGUCAACAUAACACUUCCCCUUCUUAAAAAAGGGUUAUGAAAAGGGGUCAUUUGUAAGUCCGUAUGUAAGUCAAGAAAUAACAGUUAUGUUGAAACAAAUAGUGUACGACUGCAACAUUCACCCAGCAAGUGCAGCUUUUACUAAGGUAUUCCUCAUUAUGACAUCAAGUUCUUUCAAUAUCUAACUUUGUGACCUUCUUUUAUUGCAUGUAUAAAUGAGAACUACUUGAUGAUGCACAACAUUUG
Long non-coding RNA from Esox lucius (northern pike), 572 nucleotides. RefSeq lists it as uncharacterized. The transcript is spliced from 3 exons. Lineage: Eukaryota; Metazoa; Chordata; Actinopteri; Esociformes; Esocidae. The record is from RefSeq and is a predicted model, not a curated record.